Molecule: long non-coding RNA, 1032 nt
Organism: Priapulus caudatus
Lineage: Eukaryota; Metazoa; Priapulida; Priapulimorpha; Priapulimorphida; Priapulidae
Exons: 2
Source: RefSeq, a predicted model, not a curated record
ACGUGUGACUGCGCGCUGAGCUGGGUCGUUGAGGAGGCGUGGCUGGAGGAGGAGACGGAGCUGGGCACGUGCGAGGCGCCGUAUCAUCUUCGCGGCGAGUCGGUCGCCACGGUCGCCGCGUGUGACAUGUGCGGAAGCUGCACGACGCCCGUCGCCACCGGCGCGACGGAUGGCACCACCUACACGCCGACGACGGAGUCGACCGCUGCCGGUCGUCUGCAUCUGAGUGGCAUGGCGGCCAUGACGUGUCUACUCGCGCUGGCUGUGAUGCGCUCAUAACGAAAGACAUCAUAUCAUUUCACAUCUAAACGAUGGAGAAACUACUUGCUUGCUGAAGUGACAUCAGCUUCAUCCCCCCAGCCACCAGAGGGAGUAGCUAGCUACUACAUACACUGUUAGUUGGGCGCUGCUACGAGACUAAACCGCCCGUAUACAUGUUAUCAAGAGAUAAUAAUACAUUAGUAUAACUAUAAUACAAUAAGACGUUACAAUAAUAAUAAUUAAAAGGCUGUAGCGCGACCGCCUGUAAUUGGUUGUCUCUACUGAAUGGCUGGUCACAUGGUCACGACUACACAGCUGGGCAUGUACCGAAAAUAGAACAAUAGAAUAAUUGUGGUUCUACCACUUUUCUCUUGCUAAUUGCUUACUGUGUACUUCUGCGGUAUUACACUUUGCCUGCUUCUGUCCAUACAAUUUUACUCGUAGUUAAAAAAUAUUCUGAUUUUAUCAAUGCGAAAUUUACGUACCUGUAGUUGGUAAGUUGUAAUCAUGUUGAGUAGUAGAUAGUUAAUAAGAUUUUUAGCAGAAUUUAUAUAUUGUACUAUAUGUUGUGGACUUUAUAUUAUAUCAUUGGUGGUGCUAUCACUGGGGAACAAUAUAUUUGAUACUUAGUGAAAUUUUGUGGUUGUUAUAAAAUGUAUGCAGGCGAGUAAAUUGUGAUUGUAUUGCAGCCGUGUAACCUACUGAAUUGAUUACAUUUGUUUUAAAAUAGAAAUAAAUGUAUUGUGACUCUUGAUCGUGGAGUUUGCUUGA